Molecule: ribosomal RNA, 243 nt
Filed under: uncultured Actinomycetales bacterium
Lineage: Bacteria; Bacillati; Actinomycetota; Actinomycetes; Actinomycetales
Description: partial 16S ribosomal RNA
Rfam family: Bacterial small subunit ribosomal RNA
Source: RNAcentral
UACUCGAGUGGCGAACGGGUGAGUAACACGUGGGUGAUCUGCCCUGCACUUCGGGAUAAGCUUGGGAAACUGGGUCUAAUACCGGAUAGGAGCCAUCUUUAGUGUGGUGGUUGGAAAGUUUUUUCGGUGUAGGAUGAGCUCGCGGCCUAUCAGCUUGUUGGUGAGGUAAUGGCCUACCAAGGCGGCGACGGGUAGCCGGCCUGAGAGGGUGUACGGCCACAUUGGGACUGAGAUACGGCCCAG